RNAcentral lists this transfer RNA (74 nucleotides) under Candidatus Harrisonbacteria bacterium RIFCSPHIGHO2_01_FULL_44_13. RNAcentral describes it as "tRNA-Gly". It matches the Rfam family "tRNA". From Rfam's summary of the family: Transfer RNA (tRNA) molecules are approximately 80 nucleotides in length. Their secondary structure includes four short double-helical elements and three loops (D, anti-codon, and T loops). RNAcentral also lists the same sequence under 1 other name. Lineage: Bacteria; Candidatus Harrisoniibacteriota. The record is from RNAcentral.
GCGGGAUUAGUAUAGUGGCAGUACGCCACCUUGCCAAGGUGAUGGCGCCGGUUCGAUUCCGGUAUCCCGCUCAA